This 260-nucleotide ribosomal RNA is filed under the name uncultured Lactobacillus sp. RNAcentral describes it as "partial 16S ribosomal RNA". It matches the Rfam family "Bacterial small subunit ribosomal RNA", at positions 103 to 355 of the family's 1533-position model. Lineage: Bacteria; Bacillati; Bacillota; Bacilli; Lactobacillales; Lactobacillaceae. The record is from RNAcentral.
UGGGUGAGUAACGCGUGGGUAACCUGCCCUUAAGUCUGGGAUACCAUUUGGAAACAGAUGCUAAUACCGGAUAAAAGCUACUUUCGCAUGAAAGAAGUUUAAAAGGCGGCGUAAGCUGUCGCUAAAGGAUGGACCUGCGAUGCAUUAGCUAGUUGGUAAGGUAACGGCUUACCAAGGCGAUGAUGCAUAGCCGAGUUGAGAGACUUAUCGGCCACAUUGGGACUGAGACACGGCCCAAACUCCUACGGGAGGCAGCAGCC